GAUGGACGCUAGCUACAGGCUUAACACAUGCAAGUCGAGGGGAAACGAUAUUGGAAGCUUGCUUCCGAUAGGCGUCGACCGGCGCACGGGUGAGUAACGCGUAUCCAACCUGCCCAUCACUUGGGGAUAACCUUGCGAAAGUAAGACUAAUACCCAAUGACGUCUCUAGAAGACAUCUGAAAGAGAUUUAAAAGAUUUAUCGGUGAUGGAUGGGGAUGCGUCUGAUUAGCUUGUUGGCGGGGUAACGGCCCACCAAGGCGACGAUCAGUAGGGGUUCUGAGAGGAAGGUCCCCCACAUUGGAACUGAGACACGGUCCAAACUCCUACGGGAGGCAGCAGUGAGGAAUAUUGGUCAAUGGACGAGAGUCUGAACCAGCCAAGUAGCGUGCAGGAAGACGGCCCUAUGGGUUGAAACUGCUUUUAUACUAGGGUAAACUCACCUACGUGUAGGUGACUGAAAGUAUAGUACGAAUAAGGAUCGGCUAACUCCGUGCCAGCAGCC
RNAcentral lists this ribosomal RNA (502 nucleotides) under uncultured bacterium. Its description in RNAcentral is "bacterial SSU rRNA". It matches the Rfam family "Bacterial small subunit ribosomal RNA", at positions 28 to 516 of the family's 1533-position model. The record is from RNAcentral.